Non-coding RNA from Misgurnus anguillicaudatus (oriental weatherfish), 1470 nucleotides. The record is from RefSeq and is a predicted model, not a curated record. NCBI's taxonomy places the organism in Eukaryota, Metazoa, Chordata, Actinopteri, Cypriniformes, Cobitidae.
GAUGAGAAAAUAAUGACAACAUUUUUAUUUUUGGGUUAACUAUCCCUUUAAAUGAAGUUCUUAGGAACUGCUUCCAAAAAAAAUAAGUUUUGAUAUAUUUAUGGUAGGAAAUGUACAAAAUAUCUUUAUGGAACAUGAUCUUUACUUAAUAUCCUAAUGAUUUUUUGCAUAAAAAAUUAUCAUUUUAAAUCAUACAAUGUUUUGAUGGCUAUUACUACAAAUAGUGCUACCUUAUUUGUAGUUUCAGUCUAAAAGAGUACAAUUUAUGUAGGCCUAAACACCCAGAUGCUCUAAUUUGUCUUGUAGGGAUCUUAUACUAUGAUAUCAGCUAAAAUAUAAACAGUGACCAAGUAUAAAAUGCAUUCAUUCAAGUUUAUUACCAUUCCAGAUGCAUUCUGGGAGAACGCUGUUAAUAAGGGCCAGCCAUUAGUCUUGGAGGCAGGAGCCAAACUCUUUGCUAAUAACUAGACUCUCUCAGCUGUUGCUUGGCAACGGUGUCUCCCAAGAAGCGGAAGAGGAUGUCAUUCAUACGGGGGACUGGUGUCGCACAUGAGGGGGGAACCGACUUUAAUCCUCUUCCUGUUGAUUCCUCUUAGGAUUCCGUUUGUCCUCUUCCCACGUUGACUCAAAUACUUGGCCUCAUGUAACAUCCUGUGUGGAAGAGCCGAAACAAUAACGGACAAGCACGUCUAAACCUGGGAACUACACUGUGACAAACGUAACAUCACACCUUAGUCAAAACAAACACAAGAUGGAGUGGAAAUCAUAUUGCUAAUCCCUGUGCAUCUUGUAUGAAUUCACCUUUGAUCUGGGAUGCCACACACAAUAAAACUCAGCAUACUUCUAUUCAUUUGAGAAUGGACACCAGAUGGGUGGGAAGAUUCAGCUCAAGUGGUCAACAUCAGUACCAUUGUUAAAGCAGUGCCGGUCCAUCCAGCAGUGGAAAAUUUCAAAGAAAAAUGCAACAAGGAUGAAUCCAAUUUCUAACCGCACGGAAAGCUGAGACACCAUUUGGGAUUGGCAGCUCUCGCCAUUGUAAAAUUGGAAGCAUCCUAUUGUUUUGCUUUGCUUAUGCUUAUAUAAACAUCAGGGAGUGGGCAGGUCUCUCAGGAAACAUGACUGCGCAUGAUAUCCAAAGUGCCCUGGAGGUGAAGACCGACCAAUCCGGGAAUGUCGACCAUCGUUAACAAAACAUCACACGUUUUCAACCCCUCCGUGUGUGUGUGUGAUGGUUGGCAUUCCUCGCUCUCGCUGAGCUUGGGGUGUUUGCGGGAAUCAUAUGUGAUUUUUUUUGUUCUACCUGUACUUAUAACUCCUGCCAGGUAACAGCGGGAGAAAGAUCCAUGCAGGGAUGAUCAAAACUAUAUUAUUUUUCUAGAACAUAUCGCAAUUCGUUAUUAUUUUAAGAAGUAGCUUGAAUUCUUACAAUUGCAUUCGUACAUUUUAGUACAAUCUGCUUUGACAUUUGGU